UGGGGAAUAUUGCACAAUGGGCGCAAGCCUGAUGCAGCAACGCCGCGUGAGGGACGACGGCCUUCGGGUUGUAAACCUCUUUUGGCAGGGAAGAAGCGAAAGUGACGGUACCUGCAGAAAAAGCACCGGCUAACUACGUGCCAGCAGCCGCGGUGAUACGUAGGGUGCAAGCGUUGUCCGGAAUUAUUGGGCGUAAAGAGCUCGUAGGCGGUUUGUCGCGUCUGCUGUGAAAACACGAGGCUCAACCUCGGGCCUGCAGUGGGUACGGGCAAACUAGAGUGCGGUAGGGGAGAUUGGAAUUCCUGGUGUAGCGGUGGAAUGCGCAGAUAGCAGGAGGAACACCGAUGGCGAAGGCAGAUCUCUGGGCCGUAACUGACGCUGAGGAGCGAAAGCAUGGGGAGCGAACA
Molecule: ribosomal RNA, 407 nt
Filed under: uncultured bacterium
Lineage: Bacteria
Description: bacterial SSU rRNA
Rfam family: Bacterial small subunit ribosomal RNA
Source: RNAcentral